UUAGCCCAGCCUGUCUCAAAACGUCAUAGAAUUCGAAAGCUCCGGGGACCGAGAACACCUCGUCUAGGUACUUCCCUUCAAGGAUUGGACGCUCAAAGAAAUGUGCAGCAAACCUUUCGUAUUGGUCGUCGUUAGAGAAGAGUUGAUUACAUGUUAGUGGUGGAGACGGCGGAGGGGAAGGUGAUGGGCGACUUCGAGAUCCCCCUUUUGAAGAGGAAGCCCGCCGUUUCUUCUGUGAGGAUUCCGCCAUUAGUGGUUUUUAGGGUUUUUGAAAUUUGCUUAUGGAGAAGAGGAAUGGACGUUUGGAAUAAAAUGCACUGAUGAAAGAUUUAUUUUUCCAAGUAGGUUAUAAGCACUAUUAAAGGGGUAGUGGGUGAGGUGGGUAACGGUUACAAUUGAUGGUGGUGGAAGUUACGAAACAUUGAUGGAGGUCAUUCAAUGUGUCUGCAGCGCCUUUACAUAUGUGUGCUGUCAUUGUGCCGUAAUCGAUUACAACUGACAAUGUAAUCGAUUACAUGAGCUGUUAUUUACCCUACGAACAUGUUAUUC
This 549-nucleotide long non-coding RNA is filed under the name Vigna radiata. RNAcentral describes it as "long non-coding RNA (VRAD_LNC000729)". Lineage: Eukaryota; Viridiplantae; Streptophyta; Magnoliopsida; Fabales; Fabaceae. The record is from RNAcentral.